This 231-nucleotide unclassified non-coding RNA is filed under the name uncultured Geminibasidium. Its description in RNAcentral is "sequence contains ITS2". The record is from RNAcentral. Lineage: Eukaryota; Fungi; Basidiomycota; Geminibasidiomycetes; Geminibasidiales; Geminibasidiaceae.
ACACCUCAACCCUCCAAUGUUUUUUUGCAUUGCAGGUGUUGGUAGUGAGCGCUGCCGGUUUUUGGAUCGGCUCGCUUUAAAAUCAUUAGCUGGAUCCAUUCUGACCUGGUUCUACUCGGCGUAAUAAGUUAUUAUCGUCGAGGACGCCUGGCCUUUUAGGCAGGGCGGCCACAGUAAGGGUGUUUGAACCGCUUCCAACACGCCUUGCUCUUGUAGCAAACACUUGGACCU